RNAcentral lists this long non-coding RNA (1249 nucleotides) under Malus domestica (apple). Its description in RNAcentral is "long non-coding RNA (MDOM_LNC009179)". Lineage: Eukaryota; Viridiplantae; Streptophyta; Magnoliopsida; Rosales; Rosaceae. The record is from RNAcentral.
AUAAAAGUAUGAAUAAACUAUUAAGUAUUAGUGAAUCUAUUGUUUUGAUGGGAUACUCAUUCUACGAAACUAAUUUCAAAGAUCCAACCGUCAAACAUGUUUGUAUAUACUUCGAGAUCUCAUACGUCAAAAAUUACAAAAAACAAACAUUCAGAGAUCAAUUAAAGGGACAAAACUUUUCGACGGUUAUAAAAAGAAAAAUCACGAUUUAACGGUCAUUUUAACUCUGAUUUUGAUGAUUUUUUGCAGCUACACUCCUUGACCUUAUAUGAAUACAAUGAUUGAAUUCGAUCUUCAAUUUAAAAUAUUUACACUAGUGGAAACCACAAAAUCUUAUAUUAUACUUAAUAAAAGUAUGAAUAAACUAUUACGUAUUAGUGAAUCUAUUAUUUUGAUGGGAUACUCAUUCUCCGAAACUAGUUUCAAAGAUCCAACCGUCAAACAUGUUUGUAUAUACUUCAAGAUCGCAUACGUCAAAAAUUACAAAAAACAAACAUUCAGAGAUCAAUUAAAGGGACAAAACUUUUCGACGGUUAUAAACGAAAAAUCACGAUUUAACGGUCAUUUUAACUCCGAUUUUGAUGUUUUUUUACAACCACACUAAUUGACCCUAUAUGAAUACAAUGAUUGAAUUCGAUCUUCAAUUUAAAAUAUUUACACUAGUGGAUACCACAAAAUCUUAUAUUAUACUUAAUAAAAGUAUGAAUAAACUAUUAAGUAUUAGUGAAUCUAUUGUUUUGAUGGGAUACUUAUUCUACGAAACUAGUUUCAAUGAUCCAACCGUCAAACAUGUUUAUAUAUACUUCGAGAUUGCAUACGCCAAAAAUUGCAAAAAACAAACAUUCAGAGAUCAAGUAACGGGACAAAACUUUUCGACGGUUAUAAACGAAAAAUCACGAUUUAACGGUCAUUUUAACUCCGAUUUUGAUGAUUUUUUACAACUACACUCCUUGACCCUAUAUGAAUAUAAUGAUUGAAUUCGAUCUUCAAUUUAAAAUAUUAACACUAGUGGAAACCACAAAAUCUUAUGUUAUACUUAAUAAAAGUAUGAAUAAACUCUUUAAGUAUUAGUGAAUCUAUUGUUUUGAUGGGAUACUCAUUCUACGAAACUAGUUUCAAUGAUCCAACCGUCAAACAUGUUUGUAUAUAUUUCGAGAUCGCAUAUGCCAAAAAUUGCAAAAAACAAGCAUUCAGAGAGCACGUAACGGGACAAAACUUUUCGACGGUUAUAAACGAAAAAUCACGAUUU